Molecule: long non-coding RNA, 632 nt
Organism: Helianthus annuus (common sunflower)
Lineage: Eukaryota; Viridiplantae; Streptophyta; Magnoliopsida; Asterales; Asteraceae
Exons: 2
Source: RefSeq, a predicted model, not a curated record
UUAAAUCUAAAGGGUUUAAGAAAAUAUAUUUUUUUUUAUCAGUUACAAAGGAGCCAGCAACUUGAUAUGCAUCUCGUUUGAUAGUUGAUACGAUCUCCGUUAGGGCUGUUCAAAUAGCUCAGGGUUUUAUUAGUGACUUGAUCAAAGAAAUUUUUGUAUGAUUAUUGUAGAGAAAGAUAAUGCUCCAAGAACCGUAAAAUAUCUAAAACUUAUUAGUGGCCGGAACAUAUUGGAAACUAACAGAACAGUAGAUGAAUGCAGGAGUUGUUUGUGUGAUGUACCAAGUGGCGUUACAACCAUGCAUAUCGUUGUUAGUCAACCGCCUCAGGAAAAAGGCGUUCGAGUUACUGGUUAAAGCAUGACAAGUGUAUAAGUUUGUGGAGGGAAUAAUGAAACGUAUACAAGUAUGUUAAGGAUGAUAUUUUGAAACCGGACUGAUCAUUUGAACCUCGGUUCACUGGUUCAACCGAUUGGACUGGACUAAAAGGCAGGAUGAUUAUUUAUUGUUGUUGUAUCAUCUAUAAAGUUAUUUAGUUUACUUGGUUACCACUUACCUACAAGUAACCUGCCAGUAAUGAAUUUUUCUGUUUUCGAAAGCUAGUUAUAUUAAGAGAAAAUAUUAAAUAUUCACA